This 377-nucleotide ribosomal RNA is filed under the name Arcobacter venerupis. RNAcentral describes it as "bacterial LSU rRNA". It matches the Rfam family "Bacterial large subunit ribosomal RNA", at positions 1293 to 1663 of the family's 2925-position model. The record is from RNAcentral. Lineage: Bacteria; Pseudomonadati; Campylobacterota; Epsilonproteobacteria; Campylobacterales; Arcobacteraceae.
CAUGCAGGCAUGAGUAGCGAUAAUUGAGGUGAGAAUCCUCAACGCCGAAAACCCAAGGUUUCCUACGCGAUGCUCGUCAUCGUAGGGUUAGUCGGGUCCUAAGUCGAGUCCGAAAGGGGUAGACGAUGGCAAAUUGAUUAAUAUUUCAAUACCAACAUACAAGCGCGAUGUGGGGACGCAUAGAGUUAAUCGAGCUCACUGAUGGAAUAGUGGGUCGAAGGACGUAGGCUGUAACUUAGGCAAAUCCGGGUUACAUUAGGCCGAGAUCUUACAGGCUCUUGACACUCUUCGGAGGAGAUGGAGAAUCGAUGAUACUGUCGUGCCAAGAAAAGCCACUAAGUAUAUUGUAUGUUGCCCGUACCGUAAACCGACACAGG